Molecule: long non-coding RNA, 624 nt
Organism: Apis laboriosa (Himalayan honeybee)
Lineage: Eukaryota; Metazoa; Arthropoda; Insecta; Hymenoptera; Apidae
Exons: 4
Source: RefSeq, a predicted model, not a curated record
ACUACGGACGGUUAUCCUGACAGAAAGUAAUUUGUCCAUUAACUUUGUUUUGUGAUUGUCUUAUUGUGCGAGAAUGUGUUAUCAAGGAAAGAAGGAACAUCAGUGUGAAUAAAUUUAACGUCGAGGUUCGUUCCCUGUGAAAUACGAAGCAUGAUACGAAGCAGCCGGCGUUCAGUCCUUCAAGCUACACGGUGGAAAGUAUACGAAAAGUGGGGGGACUAUUGAUGCAGUUCACUGCGUGAGAAAGUGAACAUCGAUCGAGAAUGGGAUAUCUAGAUGCUAGGAGCAUGCGUUCAUAAAAAGAGAAGCUGUGGCACGUUGACCAUUCCGAAUCGGAAUUUUCUACACUACAAUCGUAAGAAAACAAUGCCAGUGAAACAAUGACUGUAUCUACUAGUUUCUUUUCAAAUAUUGGAUCAACAUUCAGAUUGAAGACAACGUAUGUGGGAUACGUUUACGGAUUUUUCUGGAUAAUAAUGGAAUCGAUGUCAUCCCAAUUUUCAGUGAUAUAGAAUAAGGUGAGUUUUAAUUGAAAUAUUUGUUGAGAAUAAUUUGAGAAUGAUUUAGAAACAAUUUCUUCGUGAUAAAAUCGAUGUGAUGGUAAAUUAAUUAAAUAAAAUUGUA